CAGAAGUAGAUUUCAAAGAAAAAUCUGUACUGCAAGUGUUAAAAAUAAAUAACUUCUUGGGGAGUGGAAUCAGUCUAGAGGCCUUCCUAAGAAGGGGGUUAGAGAGCUUGCAAUCCUGCAGAUCUGUCUUCAAGGAGGUCCUUUCUUUAUUCCAGUUUCUGUGGCUGGAUGCUGGCAUCUCCCAGGAUCAGCCGCAUGAGAGCUGACCUGAAAGUCACCAUCAAGACCCGAAUAGGCUGGUUUCCCAUGAGAAUGCUGCCCCUUCCACAAGCCCACCUCCUCAGAGCUGCAGGCAUUUUCAGGCCUCAUUAAGCCUCUUCAUGGAGUAAGUUGUCUUGGCCUGGACCAGAUGGACUCCCCGAGGAGAUUUGGCUAAAACAUCUUCUCCUGAACGUCUGAAGCUCCCAUGCUCACAGGCACCCAUCUGUUCCUCUUGUAAAUGCAUCUCAGCCGUUGUGUUUGGGAUGAUCUGGAAUUUUCACUGCAAAUGAGAUAUCCCUGCCCCGUUUCCUCUGACACUCAAUUCCCACUUUCACAAGCGUUUGGUUUCCUGGGCAGACAGACUUCAGAGUGACGCUGGCACUUUGGAUUCUUGUGUCACAUUGUAGCACCCAAAUCCUGCCAUUCACCCUCCUGUUCUCCAGUCUCCCGAGUCAAGGUUGCUAUAUGAAUAAGGGCAAAGACUAAAUGGGAAAUGCAGAAAGGCUUAGAUGGAAAUCCAUUUCUCUUAGAAUGCUAUAUAGUCCCCCCUCUGUGGGUUAUUCCCGUUUUGGAUAACUUUGAACCAGUGGAUUCGUGAUAUAUGGCUUUUUUGUGACUGGCUUAUUUCACUUAGUAUAAAGUUUUCAAGACUGAUCGUGUGGUAGCAUAUGUCAGGUCCUCGUUUGUUUUCGUUGUCAAAUAAUAUUCCUUGGUGCUAUAACACAUUUUAUUUAUUCAUUCAUGAGUCAGUAGACAUUUGGCUGUUUGCCAGUUUGUGGCUCUAAUGAUACUAUGUACAUUCAUGUAAAGGUUUCUGUGUGAACCUCGACUCUCGGCUCUCUUGGAUGCAUGUCUAGGAGUGGAAUUGGUAGAUGUAUGGUGACUGUAUGUUUAGCAUUUCAGAGAGCUGCCAAGCUGUUUUUCACAGUAGCUGUGCCAUGUUAUAACUCCACCAACAAUGUAUGAGGGUUCUAGUUUUUUUAUAUCCUCACCAAGACUUAUCAUUGUUGGUCUUUUUGAUUGAUUGAUUGAUUCGUUCUUUUAUUUAUUGAACAAUUAGGGAAUUUCCUGGUGGUCCAGUGGCUAAGACUCCACGCUUCCAACACAGGGGGCCCAGGUUCUGUCCCUGGUCAGGGGACUAAGCCUGACAUGCCACGUCUAAGAGUUUGCAUGCUGCAAGGAAAGGAUCUCGCAUGUGGCAACAAAGAUCGAAGAUUCCACAUACUGCAACUAAGACCUGCUGCAGCCAAAUAAACAAACGUUAAUAUUAAAACCCAGCUAGUCACUGAGUGCCUGUGUGUGCUGGAGCCUAGAGAAUAAGAGUUAGGAAAUCACGUAAGGAGAGUAUGAUAUUUGGCAGAGACUGAUAGACCAAAUGAAAAUGCAAAUAAAGGUAAAAAUGCAAUUAUGAGGGAAAUUACAGAGGGGUGGUUGUACAUGAUGUUAUGUGACUAUACACCAGGGAGGGUUUCCCUCAGGAGGCAAUGAUUGAGCUGAGAUGUACAAGCUGAAUAAGAGCUUAGUAGAUAUUUGAUUAUAAACAAGAGUGUUAAUGGAUCUCUGCCUCAGUUCUGCCUUUGUCAUGGAGAGUUUGCCAGAUCCACAUAACAGAGUGGUUUGGGGAACUCAAUGAAAGUUAUUGUUAGGAAAGGAUUAGAUCCCUCAAUUAGCAAUUCUCUGGUUUCCUUUUGUGAUCUCCUACCCUCCCUCACUCUCCAGAAGGAAGGGCUCUAGACAAAGGAUAGUAUUGAUGGCGAUGGUGGUGGUGAUGAUCUUGAGGUAGGCUCUGAUUUGAUAGGUGCCUUCUAUGUGUCGAGCACUGUGCUAAGUAAUUUAAAACAUCUUAUUCAUUUCUUAUAAUGACAUUGCAAUAGAAGGAGGUCAGCAUGAGAUCAGAAUGAAGCAGAAAAGGAAAGCGGAGUGUGGGAGACAGGCACUGAGUUUAGGUCUGAAGGAACUGGACUUGUAGUUGAAGUGACUCUUGAGAGAAAUGUUUCUAAGUCUGUGUUCACAGAGCACCUGAAAUAGACAUUUGGUUUCAGAAAAUAUACAUUCAUGCAAUUUAAUUCUGUUUAUACUUAGAAGGGUAUUUUACUUCUUGAAUAUGGAAUGCAGUUUCUUUUAUUUUAAAUUACUUCUCUGGUAUUAAACUAAAUAGUUUAGCUUAAUCACAUAUAACAAACCUCCCAGUAUAAGGGCCUGGAUCCCAAAUCUCGCUACAAAUUAGUUUCCAGCCCAGGCAAUAAAUGCAUACCUGGAGCAAAUUCAAGAAGGGAAACCACUUUAAUUAGGUUUGAAAGUGUCUCCAAUCAGUUCCAGAAUAGCUGUCACUGGAUUUAUGAUGUACCUUCCAAAUUGUAACUCUUUUCAUAUUCAACUGAAGUGAGAAGGCCGCAGAGAAACUGAACUUGAUUUCUUGAAACCUAAACAUUUAUCUCCCCAAACAAGUGCCUCUAGAAAAGAUGGGCAAGACUGAUGGAAGGCAGGCCGGCUCACCUGUCUGUCGGCCUCUGUGGUAAGUUUCCACUUAAUUGAGAGGGUUCUAGAAGGAUUAAUCCAAACAAACCUUCCUUGGAACAUUUCCAUAAGUAUAGUCUGACCCCACUAAUCUGUCACGCAACAAUUGCACUCACUUUUACAUUUGUGCCCAAAUGACAGUAACACACAGCUUUCCUGGGGGAGGAGCUGGUGCUGAGACUCAGAGGCUAGACGGCUUGCAGAGUAUCACUGACUUCUAAGUGUCAGAACCAGGAUUCAAGCCCAGAUUACUCUAAUUCCAGAAUUUUGAGCCCAAGGGACAUAUUCAGAAUAAAAUAUCAGCAAUAAAAAUGAUGAUUAGUCACCUUAUCUACGUGAUUUCCAGCUGUUUUGAAACCGAGUCGCCUGUUAAUUUUUGUUGGAUUCUUUUAGCCUUGUUUUCGCAGCCAUAGUACCUGAAUGUGGCAAAACUCAAGAAAGUGGGCAUGGCAGAAAGACGUGAUGCCAGGGUGGGAAAAGUGGGAGCAGAGCCUGGCUUUCCACUUCGCACCGCUGCGACUUCGGGCUCAGCCACUCUGACAGGAGUCUGAGCAAGCUCCGGGAGUUGGUGAUGGACAGGGAGGCCUGGCGAGCUGCAGUCCACGGGGUCGCAAAGAGUCAGACACGACUGAGCGACUGAACUGACUCUGACGCUUUGUCUCUUCCUCUGGGUAGAGGGAAUUAACACCUCUGGGUAGAGAGCUGUGAUGAAGCUGAAGGGAGAAAAUGCCUUGUGAACUCUAAAUUGCCUUCACAUUGCUUACUACUUUCAUCUAAAAGAACACCAUGAAGUCUGACAGGAGUGGUAUGCAAGGUCUGCUCUGAGAGGUAACUGGAGAUGUCCUGCUUUGUCAGAAAGUCACCAUGACUCUGAGCCUUGAUCACUCACCAAUCAGCUCUUUAAUUCUUAUGUAAAUGGCAUAGUAAUUGUGAAGAAGAUAGGGUAUCUGGGUUAGAAUUCCUGCUGUCUCCACAGUGUGCUGGCCACUGUAGCAAUACUUUAUGAAUAUUAUCUCAUUAAAUAAAUCUAUGUGAUUGGCAGGAGCAUUAUAAUCCUCACUUCACAGACAGAAAGUGAGCACACGUUGGCUCAACUUACUGCAGUCCAGCUAAACGGCAGUUCCCUUUGGUUCCCAACCUUUUCUCCCUUCCAUUUUGCUUGUUAUUAUCAAAGUAGUUUGCCAAUGGAGAUUAUUUAACUCCUUCUCCUAGAUGACUGUCAUUUACCUUUGACUGUAAGAUGAUGUGGUAGGCAGGGGACUUACCUGGUGGCCCAGUAUCUAAGACUGCGCUCCCAAUGCAGGGGGCCUGGGUUCAGCUCCUGGUCAGGGAACUGGAUUCCCACAUGC
Long non-coding RNA from Capra hircus (goat), 4067 nucleotides. The record is from Ensembl. NCBI's taxonomy places the organism in Eukaryota, Metazoa, Chordata, Mammalia, Artiodactyla, Bovidae.